UACGGAGGGUGCAAGCAUUAAUCGGAUUUAUUGGGCGUAAAGGGCGCGUAGGCGGGGAUGUAAGUCAGAUGUGAAAUCCCGAGGCUCAACCUCGGAACAGCAUUUGAAACUCCAUCUCUUGAGGAUAGGCGGAGAAAACGGAAUUCCACAUGUAGCGGUGAAAUGCGUAGAUAUGUGGAAGAACAUCGGUGGCGAAGGCGGUUUUCUAGCUUAAACCUGACGCUGAGGCGCGAAAGCAAGGGGAUCAAACAGG
RNAcentral lists this ribosomal RNA (253 nucleotides) under uncultured bacterium. RNAcentral describes it as "partial 16S ribosomal RNA". It matches the Rfam family "Bacterial small subunit ribosomal RNA", at positions 524 to 776 of the family's 1533-position model. The record is from RNAcentral.